CCAUAGAUGGCGCAUUAUUCUAGUCAUCACAUUGUUACGAAGACGAGGGUAAAAUAUCGUUAAAUAGCAUAUAUAUAAAGCGUCUGGUGCUUGCUUAAUAUGCCCAAUGUUGGGUGGGCGCUGAACGUCAUGAACUUAUGGGUGACCGUAACGGCAUACGGCAACCAUUCCAUAUCUUCGAUUUACAUUAACCUAUUUUCUUGCUACAGCUUGGAAUAGAGUAGCUUGGCUUGAGUGGUGUUAGGGAAUAGAGACAGCUUUUAAGAGGGUGUACAUUUUCUUAAAAGAAUCGCUACUUGAAACUAUCACUGCAAAAGAGCAUUAGUAACAAUAAGUGAUGUUUGAGGAAAUCUUCUAGAGUGUCUAUUACAGUAGGAUUGCAGUGCGUACUAAGUGGUAAUCAAGUCAUAGAUUAGGUGACUAUCUGUCUGGCCUUUUAAAAGGGAACUGCAAAGUGGUAACGCUUUGUAAGGCUGGGGGAAAUCCAACUUGACCUAAGACGCAAAGUUUACUAUGGUAAUGCCAUUUUUUUUAUU
This 536-nucleotide small RNA is filed under the name bovine gut metagenome. The record is from RNAcentral.